This is a long non-coding RNA of Monomorium pharaonis (pharaoh ant), 831 nucleotides long. RefSeq lists it as uncharacterized. The transcript has 2 exons. The record is from RefSeq and is a predicted model, not a curated record. Lineage: Eukaryota; Metazoa; Arthropoda; Insecta; Hymenoptera; Formicidae.
UUUGUUGCAGGCAAUCGUGCUGCUUGCGCAAAGAAACAAGAGAAAAUUCUUGAAGCAUCGGAUAUAUAAACAGAUGUAUAUAAUACCUUGGACUACGAUUCAUACAAAUGCUUGCAAUAUCCAUAAAUAAAGCUGGAAGGAAGUGACCAAUCCAAGUACAAACUUUAUAGGAUAUUUUAUAUCGUAGAGGAAUCAUUAUGGGUAUGUAUAUGGCAUUUCUCAUAGGAUAUGUUUUACUUAUGUCGAUAUACGCGUGAACAUAUUCAUCCCAAGUAGGUCCAUCGAUUGGUGAUACGAAAUUAUAGAUUAACAUAUCUCUGCCUCUCCUUGAAAAUCCAUUAAAAUUUAGUUAAAUUAUGCAUUAUAUUUUUUUAUGUAUCAGUGUUACAAUUACAUUAAUAUUCACAACGUGUUACAAUUAUAGUAAUAUUUUAAUAUUUAAGAUAUUUAAGAUAUUUAAAUACUCAUUUUGAUAUAAUAAUAAAAUUUUAUUGUCAAUUUUAUUUUAUUAUCCCAACAAAAUUACCUUUCUUAAAAACAGGUAUUAAAAAGCGUCAAGUGUACGCGCACAUGAAACGCUCUCAAAAAUCUAUUUUUGUACAGAAUAAUUUUAAUUUGGCACUACAAAUGUACGAAAUUUUAAUAAAAUUAUCUUUGCACGUCAAAAUACAUAAAGAUAGCCUAGUGGAGUAUUCUAUUCAGACAUUUCUUAUUUUCUUGUAUACCUGUGUUAUUAUUCAUUUGAGAAAAAAAUGUAUGAUAUUUGAAACUAUAAUCACAUAAUCAAAAAAAAUUUAGAAUAUUAUUUUUAUAGUGUUUAAAUGUCAAAAA